RNAcentral lists this ribosomal RNA (198 nucleotides) under uncultured bacterium. Its description in RNAcentral is "partial 16S ribosomal RNA". It matches the Rfam family "Bacterial small subunit ribosomal RNA", at positions 328 to 539 of the family's 1533-position model. The record is from RNAcentral.
ACGCUCGACACCUACGGGAGGCAGCAGUGGGGAAUAUUGCACAAUGGGGGAAACCCUGAUGCAGCGACGCCGCGUGAGCGAAGAAGUAUCUCGGUAUGUAAAGCUCUAUCAGCAGGGAAGAAGAUGACGGUACCUGACUAAGAAGCACCGGCUAAAUACGUGACAGCAGCCGCGGUAAUCUGAGCGGGCUGGCAAGGC